Molecule: long non-coding RNA, 1865 nt
Organism: Acanthochromis polyacanthus (spiny chromis)
Lineage: Eukaryota; Metazoa; Chordata; Actinopteri; Pomacentridae
Exons: 2
Source: RefSeq, a predicted model, not a curated record
GCUUUUGCUUGUAAUGGUGUUAUAUCCACCACAAGGUGGCGCCUGUCGCUCCCUGAUGAGUCUGGGAGGACUGUGGCGGACGGGAGAGAAACAGGAAGUAGGAGAAGAAAAAUGAGACGAACGUUACAAGAAGCGAGAAAAGCUCAUUGUUUUCUGUGUGAGGAAACUGAAUAAGUCGACGAAAUUCACUAUUUUUUGUUCUUUUGGUUCAAAAGUUGAUAUUUUUGAAGCUACGCCUGUUAUCAAAGGACGGAAGCAGAUGGAUAUUUGAUGUGUCUAUGUGUCUAUUCUCCGGUUGUUUUUUUUUGUGCCUGAUAUCUAAGUGGAGGAAACGGCGACAGGGCGGUUUUCGAGGCGUUGGAGGUGUUCCGGUCGUUGCCAUAACUACGGGAAGAGCCGCUCUGUGGACUGGAUCUGAACUUCGAUUGGAGGACAGAUAAGAUUUCCACACAAGAAAAGAAACACAUAUGGGAAAACAGAAACUGAAAUGACUGAAACUGAACUACUGUGGAAGAAAUUCUGACUGACUUUUAAUUUCUUUUGACUUGACUAAACAACUUAAGAAGCUUCUUUGGGGAAAGGAAAUAUAACUGGAAUUUGUUUAUUUUGUUUAUAAAACCUACUGUGUAGUAAAGAGGAAAAAGUUACAGUUGUACCCGGGUACAGUAAAUUUUAUUUUGUUAAUUAUCUUUAUUCCUAUGUGCUCAAACCUCUCUGGAGGAACAGAGAUGAAUUUAUUUCCUUGCCCAAGUUGUAUCCAUGAGUGACUUUACUGCAGUGCCAUUUGAUGAGGUGACACUUGGUGGGCAGCGACUUGUGACGAAUGGAAAAUGUGAUUAGACCCUUUUUGGAUGAAUAGGAUUUUGACUAUAUCAUAUGUACAUUUUGGAAAAAACAUCAACAUUUCUACAACUGUAUUCCUUGCUCUGUGAUGUAUCUGUAUUAAUCUGUAUGUGCAGUCUGUAGUGUAAGGUUUAGCAUUUUGCAGGAUCCAAUAGAGAAGUGGCUACAUAAAGUAGCCAAAAUCAUGAAGACUGCAGUGUUUGAACUUCAAUGUUUACAAACAGGUUUCUGCUUCACGAUGUCUUCACAUGUCAUAAAUAUGAAGGAAAAAGCUGUUUAAAUUCAUUUUGUGUGAGCGAACUGACAGGACACCCCACUUUGCAAAAGUGGAUAUUUCACCCUGUGAACGCUGUUUGAAGCCAUAAAAUUCAUGAAGACUGCAGAUUUUGAGCCUCAGUGGUUACAAACAUAUUUUUGGUUCAGAAUGUCUUCAGAUGUGAUGAACAUAAAGGCAAAAGCUUUUUCAAUUCAUUGUGUGUGAGGGAAUUGACAGGACACCCACUGUGCAAAAGUGGAUGUUUAAGCCACUGAAAGACUGUUUAAGUAGGAAACAACUGGACGGGAAAUGGCCUCGUGACACCCUGACUCUCUGCCUGUGUGAACUAGCACCAAGCUCAAUUAAAGCAACAAGGAGACACAAAACAAUAUCAACAACAAUAGCAAAAAAAAUAACAAAAUGUCUUCAAACAUAGCAGCUGGUUUAAGUUUGUUCUGUUGGAGGGUUUACCUUGACCUCCCCUUUGUCUCAUAAUUAGUUCAUAUUGAUAAGAGUCUGAUCCACACAGGUACAGAAUCAUUUGAAAAUUAAAACAAAGUUUAAGUAGUGGCACCCUUUGGUUCUCUGCUCUUCAACUGGGAGGAUACUUGAUAAAUGUGGCAGUUGUAUAUACUGUUGUAUAUAUAUUUUGGAAUAUUGCCCAUCGACCCACUUUUAACAGUGUUUUCUUGUACAUUGAAAUUUGAGGCUGUUUGAGAUUGUCUCGUGAACUAAUACACAUAAAAUCCUGACUUGUUAACUGUUA